GAGCCCAGUUUAGGGAAAAUCCCCAUUAACUCCCUUUCUCUGCAUCAUCUUCGGAUCUUCCUUGUUUUUCUGCAGAGAAACAUGGAUGGGUCUCCGAUGAACGGGCUUCCGCAUGACACCCUGCUGCUAAUCUUCUCCUCUCUCCCUCUCCGUGACAUCAUCGCCUGUCGAUCUGUCUGCAAGUCCUUCAAUCAGACUCUCACAUCAUCGUCUUUCAUGUACCUCAUUUCCACCCGACCCCCUCUCCACCUCCUCGCCCUUCGCCCUCACCACCACCACCACCACCACCGUUUCCACGCGUCCUUCCAUCCCUCCCUCCACGUUUACGAUCCCCACCACAGUAAAUGGCUCAGAUUUAGUCUCGAUUUCUUGCCUUUCAGAUCACUUCACCCGGUCGCAUCGGCGGGUGGACUCGUGUAUUUGUGGGUCGAAUCGACCAACUCUAUCGAUUCGUAUAAGUCGCUCGUGGUCUGUAACCCGUUGACUCGUCAGUAUAGAGUUCUUCCCCAGCUGGGUUCCGCCUGGUCGCGUCACGGUUCUGUACUCGUUGACUCGGUGAACCGGGUCAUGGUUCUGAGUGAACUCGCUGCCCUCUACUUCUCAGGUUCCUCAAACAAGUGGCUCAAAUUCUCCUCCAAUUUACCGUCUAAACCGCGAAGCCCAAUUUUGAUUUCUAACUCUGUGUAUGCUCUGUGCGAUGUUGGGUCUCCUUGGAGGAGUCGAUGGAAGCUAUUUACUUGCAGUCUUAACAACUCGAGCGAUCAUCGUCACAAUUGGGUCUGCCUUGAAAAAGAAGAGUGGGGAGAUAUAUUCGAUAUCGUAAAACGGCCACGUUUGGUUCGCGGGAGUGGGAGUAACACAAUUCUGAUGAUUGGAGGCCUGAAAUCAACGUUGUCACUGAACCCGUCGUGCUCCACAAUACUGAUACUGAGGUUGGAUUUGGAUAGCUUGGAGUGGGAGGAGGCAACCCGGAUGCCUGUGGAUAUGUACAGGUGUUUUCAGGAGUCAACCAAGUUCAAGGUGUUUGGUGGUGGAGAUAAGGUGUGCUUCUCUGCAAAGAGGGUAGGUAGAUUGGCAUUGUGGGAUGGUGGGGAGGGUUGGAGGUGGAUCGAUGAGAUGCCUGGAAAUGGGGAUGGACUCUCUCGCGGCUUUGUGUUUGAAGCACAACUCAAUGCAUUGCCAUGAGAUGAUGAUGACUGCACCAGAGGAUUUUAGGACUUAAGACAGAUGAAAGUAUUGAUGAUCCUCUUGUAUCUCAUGUCUGAAUGAGGGAGUUGAAUGUAGGGCUCCUUUCUACUCAGCUACUUGUUUCAUUUUCAUGCGGCUGCCACAUUGAUUUGACUUGUUAGAAGUAGCGGGGAAAGAGGUGUUUGCAUAACCUAUAGCAUACCUUGUCAACGUCAAUGAUCAUGGUUAUUCCUUUUAUAGAGGCUUUGGGACUAGUUUUAAGAAGCUCGAUUAUUCUGCCUAUGGAUGAAGUUGUUCUCAGGACCAUUGUGCUAUGGGAUUGUGACUUCUAAUUUGAGAUUCGAAAGGGGUGAAGCCUUGUUUUUUCUUUUCGUUGAAUGGAAAUAGUCUCAGACAUUUUGGUAGAUAAUUGUCAUUAUGCUACAAAGUCAUGGCAUUCUAUGCAUUGUAACAAAUUCCUUGACUCAAUUAGGCUUUCUGUAAACUAGUUGCUGCGCUUUGUUUCUGGACUUUUGUUUCCCUUUUGUUCAUUGUAUCUGUUUGUGUAGAAUUUUCCUUC
Tripterygium wilfordii is the source of this 1747-nucleotide RNA transcript. It is a transcript of the gene named SKP1-interacting partner 15-like, with no coding region annotated. The record is from RefSeq and is a predicted model, not a curated record. The transcript is spliced from 3 exons. Lineage: Eukaryota; Viridiplantae; Streptophyta; Magnoliopsida; Celastrales; Celastraceae.